RNAcentral lists this transfer RNA (70 nucleotides) under Oreolalax omeimontis (Omei lazy toad). Its description in RNAcentral is "tRNA-Gly". It matches the Rfam family "tRNA". Rfam says of the family: Transfer RNA (tRNA) molecules are approximately 80 nucleotides in length. Their secondary structure includes four short double-helical elements and three loops (D, anti-codon, and T loops). Lineage: Eukaryota; Metazoa; Chordata; Amphibia; Anura; Megophryidae. The record is from RNAcentral.
AUCUUCUUAGUACUAAGUAGUACAAGUGAUUUCCACUCACACAGUCUCGGUUUAAACCCGAGAGAAGAUA